GAUGAACGCUAGCGACAGGCCUAACACAUGCAAGUCGAGGGGCAGCACAUGAGUAGCAAUACGAUGGUGGCGACCGGCGCACGGGUGAGUAACACGUAUGCAACCUGCCUUCUACUAUGGGAUAACCCGUUGAAAGACGGACUAAUACCGUAUAAUACAGGGGCUCCGCAUGGAGAUAUUUGUUAAAGAUUUAUUGGUAGAAGAUGGGCAUGCGUAUGAUUAGAUAGUUGGUGAGGUAACGGCUCACCAAGUCAACGAUCAUUAGGGGUUCUGAGAGGAAGGUCCCCCAACUGGUACUGAGACACGGACCAGACUCCUACGGGAGCAGCAGUGAGGAAUAUUGGUCAAUGGACGAGAGUCUGAACCAGCCAAGUCGCGUGAAGGAGACGGUUCUAUGAAUUGUAAACUUCUUUUGUGCAGGAAUAAAGUGGUUACGUGUAACCUUUUGUAUGUACUGUACGAAUAAGGAUCGGCUAACUCCGUGCCGCA
RNAcentral lists this ribosomal RNA (489 nucleotides) under uncultured bacterium. RNAcentral describes it as "bacterial SSU rRNA". It matches the Rfam family "Bacterial small subunit ribosomal RNA", at positions 28 to 513 of the family's 1533-position model. The record is from RNAcentral.